UGACUUCAUAAAUUGAAGAGACACUGAAC
Molecule: non-coding RNA, 29 nt
Filed under: Mus musculus (house mouse)
Lineage: Eukaryota; Metazoa; Chordata; Mammalia; Rodentia; Muridae
Also listed under: 1 other name
Source: RNAcentral